CAGUAGCCGCGGUAAUACGGAGGGUGCAAGCGUUAAUCGGAAUUACUGGGCGUAAAGCGCACGCAGGCGGUCUGACAAGUCAGAUGUGAAAUCCCCGGGCUUAACCUGGGAACUGCAUUUGAAACUGUCAGGCUGGAGUCUUGUAGAGGGGGGUGGAAUUCCAGGUGUAGCGGUGAAAUCCGUAGAGAUCUGGAGGAAUACCGGUGGCGAAGGCGGCCCCCUGGACAAAGACUGACGCUCAGGUGCGAAAGCGUGGGGAGCAAACAGGAUUAGAUACCCGCGUAGUCCCUGUCUCUUAUAU
This 301-nucleotide ribosomal RNA is filed under the name uncultured bacterium. Its description in RNAcentral is "partial 16S ribosomal RNA". It matches the Rfam family "Bacterial small subunit ribosomal RNA", at positions 509 to 809 of the family's 1533-position model. The record is from RNAcentral.